UUUAAAAUUGUAUAGGUUGCAAACAUAAAUAGUUUAACACGUAGGUUUUUCGUUGUCAUAUUAAAAUACUUGUUUUCUGUAAAUUAAAUAUUUUGCAGAACUGUCUACGAAUUGCUGACGCAACAAGUCGACAGUUCCUGGCCUGCUCGCACCCGACCACCCGUCUCUUUCUACGUCAUUGUGAUAGCUGCGCGUGCGCCUAGUUAGCGUGUGUUUACAUUUUUUUAUACCAUUCUAGAAGGGAAACGUGAUUGAAUCUGUCAGUCAGUGGCUCAGUUCUGUGGUGUGAUUAAAAAUAAAUAAAAAAACUUAUAGAAAUGUUUAUUUCUAAUGACAUGAUCACCGUCUUUACGGUGUCUGCGGUGCUAUCGUUCGUGAUGUCCGUGACACUGCUGCUCAUAAUCGCAGCGAAGCGCGGGUACAUGCGCGCGGGCAAGUCCAGGGCUGGUCAGGUGUACCUCCUCCCGCACCACACCGCGCCCAAGCCUGCCCCCGCCCCCGCCGUGGAGAUGACGCCUCUUACCAACCAUUCCUUGUAAUAUCUAGGGUUAUGUGGUGUAGCUCUGGGAGGGCUGGAGGGUACUAUUUAUUAAAAUCUCACUAUCACAAUUUGAUAUACUAUCGAGAGAAGUUAAAGUAAUACUAUUAUGUUAGUAAAUACUAUUGCUUUAAGCUAGCGAUAUAGCUCAGAUUUAGGGGAGACUAUCAAUCUAUCAUAUGCUAAUGUAAUUCCAAGAAGUGGACCCUCAACCACUCGCUCAUUAUUUAUUCCACUAUUGAAUAGAUAUUUAGUACUAUCAAUAGUUCAAGCUCAAAUUAUCGAUAGCUCAGAUUCAGGUAACAGUAUCAACAUGAACUAACACUAUCGAGAACAAUCGAUAGCAUCGAUACUGAUGAUUAUUGAUUGGUCCUAGACUAAUGAAUCGAUAGUCUAAGUUAUCGAUAUUCGACAUAAUGUAUGGCAUUAGUUAUAAUAGUGUCGAUAGCAUAGUUCACAGCCAAUCUAUAUUCUAGAUGAUUUUAAAGGUCAACGCGAGAAUGUGUUUACCUUAGACCAAUUAGAAUAAUUUUCAUUUAAUCAAAAAGUAGUUAAUAAUUAUAGAUCAGUGUUUUAAGUGCUAUUAGCUUGCUCUUUGCGCUAUCCGAAUGUGUGCUCUGAGAGGAAUGCAAUAACUCGUAAUUAUUGUACUUUUUGCAUCAAACCAUACAUAUAUUAUCAUAAAAAAUACAUGUAACGUAACAUUCCUUUUAGAGUAUUAUAAGUACAGUCAACAGCACAUCAACUCUCACCCAAAUUCGUUGCAAAUUAACAGCUAUUACCGCCACAUAAAGGCCAUCGCAAGGAAACUUGAAUUGCUGUUGGCUAUACCAUUAACGAUCAAAAUUCAUAACCGUGAUAUACCUAAUUACUAAAAUUAAGAAUUUAAAUUAAUAUUUUCUGUAAGUCUAAAGUUAGUGUUUUGACUUAUGUCCGUGCUUGGGAAGGCACGUUAACAUAUUGGUCCCGAUUGUAUUUGCAGUCGUUAAAACCCGCCAAUCCGCAAUGGGCCCGCGUGGUGGGUCAUGGCCCAUACUCCUUAUCUAUCCAUAGGCCUAUAAGGAAGGAAUAUGAUAAUUAUGACAUGUGUUUUUAUUCUUUUCGCUCCAGAUUUUGUUUUUUCAUACUUUUUUUAUCUGCUACAAGUAAUUACCGACAGUUAUCGUAUUAAGUUUCAUCAGUCAUCCGCUCGGAAAGGAAAUAUGUGUGAAUUGUAACAAAACAGCUAAGGAGCAUUCAUUGUUGAAUAUAUUAUUGUUUGAAGCAGCGUUUAAUAAUGCAAGUUACCUAAAUACAUUUUCAAACCAUAAUGGAGGGAAACUGCACAGAUAUUAUUCGAAUAAAUCAAAUACAUUUGAUUCCUAAAUUUACAGCAUUUAAUUAGUUUCGUAACGAUUCGUAUUCGUAAUAAUUUCAAUAACAGAUUCUAUAUACAUCAUACAAACCGCUUCAACCUAUUAUCUAUAUUAUAAAAACAUUCUUCUUUGACGUCGUUGUGCACUUAUUGUGAUGGGUACAAAAUGUUAAACUCACGUCAGGACACGUGACCAAGUCGUCAAAAAUACACAACGUUAAUAUUCAAGUAAUUUCACCUCACACUUUAUCACAAUCGAGUUCUUAUUUCACAAUAGUAUAACUUAAACUAAACUAAACUUAAAGAAUCACUAAAAAUUAGACUGAAAUUAUAAGUAAAAAAGAGAGGAAGAUAUCCAAGAAGGCUGGUAGCAUUACAUCCCUACUCUGAAAUGCCAAUCUUCUAUGCAAGAAAACUGCCCGCCCCUGGAUCGCCCGUUACGUCGCGAAGACGUGCUGAAAUCUUAUAAAUUGUUUGGCAUUCUUAAAAGUCAAAUAUAAACAUAUCUAAACCAAAUUGGCCGAUUUUGAUGAAUUAUUAACAAACUCGUCACCCGGGGUGAAACAUAACGCGGGCGGGGAUAACACAAAACGUUAUAAAACAACGUUGAAGCAUAUUGCAAGCUAAAAUAUGUUUUGUGUCGUUCUGUCACUGUCAGUAUUGUGUGUCUUACAACUUCACACGAUUUUUUUAAUCUGUGAAUAUACACACGUAAUUAGAUUUAAAGGACUCACCUACAAAACAAUCAAAACCAAUAAUUACAUGAUAGAUCGAAUGAAAGUAACCUUUAAUCUCCAGGGAUACAAUGAACCUUGAACAAGGACGAACAGUAAAUUAAUGUAUCGAAUAUUUAAUUUAAAUGUGAAAUAUAUAUUGGCUUUUAAUUUGAUAAUACACUAGCUGCGUCCCGGGGCUUCGUGCCCGUGGGAAUUUCGGGAUAAAAAUUAAGCUAUGUGUUUUUCCAGGUUGCAUUCUACCCGUGUAUCUAAUUUAAUAACAUUCCGUUUAGUAUUUUUUGCGUGAAAGAGUAACAAACAUACACACACAUAUACAUCCUAGCAAACUUUCGCAUUUAUAAUUUUAAUAGGAUUUAUGUGAAUAGGUACAUAGAAAUAUAAAUAAUAACACAUAAAUGUUACAGAAACAUUAUUUAUUAUAUAGACCUGUGAUAAAAUAUUUCAUUUUAUCUUUGAUGUAGAUAUUAUUAUGUAUCGCAGUGUCCUAGAUGAGCGACUGCGACGCUGCACAAGUAUGCUAUGCGUGUAUGUUAUAGUUAUUGCGAAGACCAUGCAGGCCAUAAAUCCAUAUUUUGCUAUCGACGCAUCGCGUUGGACAACUAGGACACAAUUCAUACUUUUAUAUUAAUAUUAUAAAUGAGAAAGCCUGUCCGCCUAUUUGAGUGUCUAUUCCGCUUUCUCGGCUUAACCGCUAGACCAAUUUUAAUGAAAUUUGGUAAGCAUAUAGUUAAAUAACCAAGUUCAAACAUCGGCUACUUUUUUUUUAAUCAACCACCAUCUAACUGUAAUUGGAAUGAACGUUUGUAUGAAAGUCAUGUCUAAUCCGCUUCCGCUCAGAAAUUGGGCGUGCGCGAUGGCGCAAGCUACUAUUAAAUGGUAAAAAUAAAAUUGUGCCAUGAAUAAUUUUGUACGAUACAGACAUUCGUUAUUUAAUACUUAUUGUAUUGAUAUACUCGUAAGAUCUAAUUAUUGUAUUAAUAUUAGGUAAAAUUUUAACAAUUUUAUGAUGAAUUUAAAUAAAAUUUUGUUAAAUUUA
This is a long non-coding RNA of Plodia interpunctella (Indianmeal moth), 3665 nucleotides long. RefSeq lists it as uncharacterized. The transcript has 2 exons. The record is from RefSeq and is a predicted model, not a curated record. NCBI's taxonomy places the organism in Eukaryota, Metazoa, Arthropoda, Insecta, Lepidoptera, Pyralidae.